Molecule: ribosomal RNA, 253 nt
Filed under: uncultured bacterium
Lineage: Bacteria
Description: partial 16S ribosomal RNA
Rfam family: Bacterial small subunit ribosomal RNA
Source: RNAcentral
UACGUAGGGGGCAAGCGUUGUCCGGAUUUAUUGGGCGUAAAGAGCUCGUAGGCGGUCUGUCGCGUCGAAUGUGAAAACCCGGGGCUCAACCCCGGGCCUGCAUUCGAUACGGGCAGACUAGAGUUCGGUAGGGGAGUCUGGAAUUCCUGGUGUAGCGGUGAAAUGCGCAGAUAUCAGGAGGAACACCGGUGGCGAAGGCGGGACUCUGGACAAUUCCUGACGCUGAGGCACGAAAGCUAGGGGAGCAAACAGG